This 629-nucleotide ribosomal RNA is filed under the name uncultured archaeon. Its description in RNAcentral is "bacterial SSU rRNA". It matches the Rfam family "Archaeal small subunit ribosomal RNA", at positions 339 to 1478 of the family's 1478-position model. The record is from RNAcentral.
UAUAGACAUCUGCGCAAUUGGGGAAAAACCACGACGAGGGGUUCCAAGUGCUCAGGGUACCCAGGGGCGGUUUUUCUGCUUAAAGUGCAGGGAGAGGAGGGCCGGGUAAGACGGGUGCCAGCCGCCGCGGUAAUACCUGCGGCCCGAGUGGGGGCCGUUAUUAUUGAGCCUAAAGCGUCCGUAGCCGGUUCAGUAAAUUUCUGGGUAAAUCGGGCAGCUUACCUGUCCGAAUUCCGGAAAGACUGCUGAACUUGGGACCGGGGGAGGUUGGAGGUCCUCCUGGGGUAGGGGUGAAAUCCUGUAAUCCUGGGGGGACCACCAGUGGCAAAGGGGUCCAACCAAAACGGAUCCAACGGUAAGGGACGAAGCCUUGGGGCGCAAACGGGAUUAGAUACCCGGGAAGUCCAGGGUGUAAACGCUGCAGGCUUGUUGUUGGGGGUCCUACAAGGGCGCCCAGUGCGGGAGAGAAGUUGUUAAGCCUGCCGCUUGGGGAGUACUCCCGCAAGGAUGAAACUUAAGGGAAUGGGCGGGGGAAAGGGCGAAUUCGUUUAAACCUGCAGGACUAGUCCCUUUAGGGAGGGUUAAUUCUGAGUUUGGCGUAUUCAUGGGCCAUAGCGGUUUUCCGGGAG